This 571-nucleotide ribosomal RNA is filed under the name uncultured bacterium. Its description in RNAcentral is "partial 16S ribosomal RNA". It matches the Rfam family "Bacterial small subunit ribosomal RNA", at positions 355 to 914 of the family's 1533-position model. The record is from RNAcentral.
UAGGGAAUCUUCGGCAAUGGGGGCAACCCUGACCGAGCAACGCCGCGUGAGUGAAGAAGGUUUUCGGAUCGUAAAGCUCUGUUGUAAGUCAAGAACGGGUGUGAGAGUGGAAAGUUCACACUGUGACGGUAGCUUACCAGAAAGGGACGGCUAACUACGUGCCAGCAGCCGCGGUAAUACGUAGGUCCCGAGCGUUGUCCGGAUUUAUUGGGCGUAAAGCGAGCGCAGGCGGUUUGAUAAGUCUGAAGUUAAAGGCUGUGGCUCAACCAUAGUUCGCUUUGGAAACUGUCAAACUUGAGUGCAGAAGGGGAGAGUGGAAUUCCAUGUGUAGCGGUGAAAUGCGUAGAUAUAUGGAGGAACACCGGUGGCGAAAGCGGCUCUCUGGUCUGUAACUGACGCUGAGGCUCGAAAGCGUGGGGAGCGAACAGGAUUAGAUACCCUGGUAGUCCACGCCGUAAACGAUGAGUGCUAGGUGUUGGAUCCUUUCCGGGAUUCAGUGCCGAAGCUAACGCAUUAAGCACUCCGCCUGGGGGAGUACGACCGCAAGGUUGAAACUCUAAAGUGAAUUGAC